RNAcentral lists this ribosomal RNA (1162 nucleotides) under aquatic bacterium STS_R2A_07. RNAcentral's name for it is "bacterial SSU rRNA". It matches the Rfam family "Bacterial small subunit ribosomal RNA", at positions 338 to 1503 of the family's 1533-position model. The record is from RNAcentral.
CCUACGGGAGGCAGCAGUGGGGAAUAUUGCACAAUGGGCGCAAGCUGAUGCAGCAACGCCGCGUGCGGGAUGACGGCCUUCGGGUUGUAAACCGCUUUUAGUAGGGAAGAAGCCUUCGGGUGACGGUACCUGCAGAAAAAGGACCGGCUAACUACGUGCCAGCAGCCGCGGUAAUACGUAGGGUCCGAGCGUUGUCCGGAAUUAUUGGGCGUAAAGAGCUCGUAGGCGGUUUGUCGCGUCUGCUGUGAAAACUAGAGGCUCAACCUCUAGCCUGCAGUGGGUACGGGCAGACUUGAGUGGUGUAGGGGAGACUGGAAUUCCUGGUGUAGCGGUGGAAUKCGCAGAUAUCAGGAGGACACCGAUGGCGAAGGCAGGUCUCUGGGCACUUACUGACGCUGAGGAGCGAAAGCGUGGGGAGCGAACAGGAUUAGAUACCCUGGUAGUCCACGCCGUAAACGUUGGGCGCUAGAUGUGGGGACCUUUCCACGGUUUCCGUGUCGUAGCUAACGCAUUAAGCGCCCCGCCUGGGGAGUACGGCCGCAAGGCUAAAACUCAAAGGAAUUGACGGGGGCCCGCACAAGCGGCGGAGCAUGCGGAUUAAUUCGAUGCAACGCGAAGAACCUUACCAAGGCUUGACAUACACGAGAACGGGCCAGAAAUGGUCAACUCUUUGGACACUCGUGAACAGGUGGUGCAUGGUUGUCGUCAGCUCGUGUCGUGAGAUGUUGGGUUAAGUCCCGCAACGAGCGCAACCCUCGUCGCAUGUUGCCAGCACGUUAUGGUGGGGACUCAUGUGAGACUGCCGGGGUCAACUCGGAGGAAGGUGGGGAUGACGUCAAAUCAUCAUGCCCCUUAUGUCUUGGGCUUCACGCAUGCUACAAUGGCCGGUACAAAGGGCUGCGAUGUCGUAAGGCGGAGCGAAUCCCAAUCCCAAAAAGCCGGUCUCAGUUCGGAUUGAGGUCUGCAACUCGACCUCAUGAAGUCGGAGUCGCUAGUAAUCGCAGAUCAGCAACGCUGCGGUGAAUACGUUCCCGGGCCUUGUACACACCGCCCGUCAAGUCAUGAAAGUCGGUAACACCCGAAGCCGGUGGCCUAACCCUUGUGGAGGGAGCCGUCGAAGGUGGGAUUGGUGAUUAGGACUAAGUCGUAACAAGGUAGCCGU